GUAAGGAAUCUUUCGCAAUGGGGGCAACCCUGACGAAGCAACACCGCGUGGAGGAUGAAGGCGUUUUCGUUGUAAACUCCUUUUCUGAGGGAAUAAAUCUGAAGGUACCUCAGGAAUAAGCAACGGCUAACUACGUGCCAGCAGCCGCGGUAAGACGUAGGUUGCGAGCGUUAUCCGGAAUUAUUGGGCGUAAAGAGUUCGUAGGUGGUUUGUUAAGUUGGGUGUCAAAGCCCCAAGCUCAACUUGGGACAGGUACCCAAAACUGGCAAACUAGAGACAAGCAGAGGCAGGUGGAAUUCUGUAUGUAGGGGUAAUAUCCGUAGAUAUACAGAGGAACACCAAAAGCGAAGGCAGCCUGCUGGGCUUGUUCUGACACUCAAGAACGAAAGCGUGGGGAGCAAACGGGAUUAGAUACCCCGGUAGUCC
RNAcentral lists this ribosomal RNA (426 nucleotides) under uncultured bacterium. RNAcentral describes it as "bacterial SSU rRNA". It matches the Rfam family "Bacterial small subunit ribosomal RNA", at positions 354 to 796 of the family's 1533-position model. The record is from RNAcentral.